GACGAACGCUGGCGGCGUGCUUAACACAUGCAAGUCGAACGGAAAGACCCUGCUUUUUUGUGCUGCUCGAGUGGCGAACGGGUGAGUAACACGUGAGUAACCUGCCCUUGACUUUGGGAUAACUUCAGGAAACUGGGGCUAAUACCGGAUAGGAGCUCCUGCUGCAUGGUGGGGGUUGGAAAGUUUCGGCGGUUGGGGAUGGACUCGCGGCUUAUCAGCUUGUUGGUGGGGGAGUGGCUUACCAAGGCUUUGACGGGUAGCCGGCCUGAGAGGGUGACCGGCCACCUUGGGACUGAGAUACGGCCCAGACUCCUACGGGAGGCAGCAGUCGGGAAUAUUGCACAAUGGGCGGAAGCCUGAUGCAGCAACGCCGCGUGCGGGAUGACGGCCUUCGGGUUGUAAACCGCUUUCGCCUGAGACGAAGCGUGAGUGACGGUAAUGGGUAAAGAAGCACCGGCUAACUACGUG
Molecule: ribosomal RNA, 468 nt
Filed under: uncultured bacterium
Lineage: Bacteria
Description: partial 16S ribosomal RNA
Rfam family: Bacterial small subunit ribosomal RNA
Source: RNAcentral